Molecule: ribosomal RNA, 825 nt
Filed under: uncultured bacterium
Lineage: Bacteria
Description: bacterial SSU rRNA
Rfam family: Bacterial small subunit ribosomal RNA
Source: RNAcentral
AGAACGAACGCUGGCGGCAGGCUUAACACAUGCAAGUCGAGCGCCGUAGCAAUACGGAGCGGCAGACGGGUGAGUAACGCGUGGGAACAUACCCCUUGGUUCGGAAUAACUCAGGGAAACUUGAGCUAAUACCGGAUAAGUCGGCAACGAGAAAGAUUCAUCGCCGAGGGAUUGGCCCGCGUCCGAUUAGCUAGUUGGUGAGGUAACGGCUCACCAAGGCGACGAUCGGUAGCUGGUCUGAGAGGAUGAUCAGCCACAUUGGGACUGAGACACGGCCCAAACUCCUACGGGAGGCAGCGGUGGGGAAUAUUGGACAAUGGGCGCAAGCCUGAUCCAGCCAUGCCGCGUGAGUGAUGACGGCCUUAGGGUUGUAAAGCUCUUUCGCCAGGGACGAUAAUGACGGUACCUGGAUAAGAAGCCCCGGCUAACUUCGUGCCAGCAGCCGCGGUAAUACGAAGGGGGCUAGCGUUGUUCGGAAUUACUGGGCGUAGAGCGCGUGUAGGCGGGUCUUUAAGUCAGGGGUGAAAUGCCAAGGCUCAACCUUGGAACUGCCUUUGAUACUGGAGAUCUUGAGUCCGGGAGAGGUGAGUGGAACUGCGAGUGUAGAGGUGAAAUUCGUAGAUAUUCGCAAGAACACCAGUGGCGAAGGCGGCUCACUGGCCCGGAACUGACGCUGAGACGCGAAAGCGUGGGGAGCAAACAGGAUUAGAUACCCUGGUAGUCCACGCUGUAAACGAUGGAUGCUAGCCGUUGGGGAGCUUGCUCUUCAGUGGCGCAGCUAACGCUUUAAGCAUCCCGCCUGGGGAGUACGGUCGCAAGAUUAAA